AGGAUUAAAAAACUUGAUAAAUUCCAAUUUAUCAUCAUAGAAGAACUGGAGAAUUUUGAAAAAGAUUCACAAUCUUUAAAAGAUUUGGAGAAAGAAUUUGCGGACUUUUGGGAAAAGAUAUUUCAGAAGUUCAGUGCAUAUCAGAGAAGUGAACAACAGAGGCUUCAUCUUUUGAAAACAUCAUUGGAUAAAAAUGUCUUCUAUAACACUGAUUAUGAAGAAACUAUAUUUACAUCUGAGAUGUGCCUGAUGAAAGAGAACAUGAAAAUGCUCCAAGACAGGCUUCUGAAGGAAAUGCAAGAAGAGGAACUUCUUAAUGUACGGAGAGGACUGAUGUCAUUAUUCAUGGCCCAUGAAAGAAAUAUUAAUGUGUGAAAUCUUAAUUGCUAUCACAUGUUUUAUCUAAUUAUCUUUUGUAUGUAACUAAGGAAACAAUAGAUUAGUCCUACAAAGAAAAAAACUGCAUGUCACCUAGUCAAGUGUUCCUUUGGAGGAACCCCCAAAUUCAAAGAAAUCCCUCCUUAUGGAUGAGAAACACUGUAACUGGACUCCAAGCCCUAAAGACUUUUGUCUACACAAUAAUACUUUUUCUGUUUUAGAGAGGGGAGGUUUUGGGAAACCAAAUAGUAAAAGGAAUUUACACUAGUUUACUAUACUUAAAAGUUAAUUUAAU
Molecule: long non-coding RNA, 673 nt
Filed under: Ictidomys tridecemlineatus (thirteen-lined ground squirrel)
Lineage: Eukaryota; Metazoa; Chordata; Mammalia; Rodentia; Sciuridae
Description: lncRNA (ENSSTOG00000031978.1)
Source: RNAcentral